CAGUCGCCGCGGUAAUACGUAGGUGGCAAGCGUUGUCCGGAAUUAUUGGGCGUAAAGGGCUCGCAGGCGGUUUCUUAAGUCUGAUGUGAAAGCCCCCGGCUCAACCGGGGAGGGUCAUUGGAAACUGGGAAACUUGAGUGCAGAAGAGGAGAGUGGAAUUCCACGCGUAGCGGUGAAAUGCGUAGAGAUGUGGAGGAACACCAGUGGCGAAGGCGACUCUCUGGUCUGUAACUGACGCUGAGGAGCGAAAGCGUGGGGAGCGAACAGGAUUAGAUACCCGAGUAGUCCCUGUCUCUUAUAC
This 301-nucleotide ribosomal RNA is filed under the name uncultured bacterium. RNAcentral describes it as "partial 16S ribosomal RNA". It matches the Rfam family "Bacterial small subunit ribosomal RNA", at positions 509 to 807 of the family's 1533-position model. The record is from RNAcentral.